Lolium perenne is the source of this 3224-nucleotide long non-coding RNA. RefSeq lists it as uncharacterized. The record is from RefSeq and is a predicted model, not a curated record. Lineage: Eukaryota; Viridiplantae; Streptophyta; Magnoliopsida; Poales; Poaceae.
UUGACGGGUGGCUGUACCAUUUUUACACACGGUCAAAGCGGUGAGCCGCUUAACCAUCGGUUCUCGAUUCCCCACCCCUCCCAUCUCUUCUCUCUGUCCGGGCAUGCUCCUCUCGGCCUCUUCCAAAUAGCCACAUCCAGAGCCGCCGCCGUCGGCUCAGUCAUCGGGGCAACUAACGCUGAUCUAGCUGCCGCAGGACAUCGGGAGGGAGGUGGGUGGCGGCGCCGUCGUCGGCAUGGACGCGCAGCUUUCCUGCUCUUUUCUCUAGGUUGUGGCUAUCUUGCUCCACUCCGUUGAGUACGACGCCGCCUUUGUCGGGAGGGCGUCGCGGCGGAUGUGUGCGCGGCCCCCCACGGCGGCUGGCGCUGAACGGGUGAGCCGGGCGUUCUCGCCGCUGGAGGCGUUCGUGAUCCGACGGCCGACAGCUUUGGGGGAUCGAUAAGGUGGAGAUGGAGUCCUCACACCAGAGGAGGAGGGGCUGCUGGGAGGAAAUCGCCUCCACAAUCCCCGUCAGGCUCCACCGAUCCAGCUACCUUGAACCGCGCCUGCCUUGAAUGCCUCAUCCAAGCUCACCUUCGGUGAUGAGCCCAGCACCGCUGCCGCUUCACCGGGCCUCGCCCAUGCUGACGCACACGCCCGUCAUCCCACGCCCCUCGCCGUCACAGCUCUUUCCAUCUGUAGCGAGGCGAAUCUGCUCUUUCCAAAGAACCUGCAAUUUCGAGUUCUGUACCAUCUUGUGAAGGCCCCUGUCUACACCUACAUGCACUGCAAUCUGAAGCGACGCGGUCCUUCUCUUUCCAAGGAGCUUUUCUUCUCUCACGAAAAAACAAAGGGUAAUUAGAGGCAUCAGUCAGCAGUCUCAAUAGAUGCUGAAAUUAUGCAUCUGGUGCGAUCUAAUAGAUUCUAAAAGAAAUCAAUCACCUUCCCGCAAGAUCCCAUGAGAAUCACCAACACAUCACUACAUAGAUCACAACAUCCCUUGGCUUGAGCUUCUUCUCCAAAUGCAAUUUGCAGGAAUCUGCAAGGUCUUCAACACAGUAGAGGGAAUCCACCACCAGGGUGAAUGGUGGUCCUCUCUCUCUAGCUCUCUCCAAAUGCCUCUUCUAUCUUUUUUUUAGCAAAGAUCCAGAUUCCCUCUUCUAUUUCCAUGUCUUGACAAGUUUGAAUUUCUCCAAUAAGAACAAGAACAUAAUAGGUUUUUAUAACAUAUUUUCAGUGGUUGUGCUCUUGCUGAUGUUUGUUUUUAAUCAAAUGCUUGCAAAUUAGUUGGGAAUUUCCUUGGACCGUUACUUUCUAUAUACCUACAAGUUUGUGUUUGAGUAGCAUUUUCGGAAAAUAUUGUGGACAGGCAAAGUAAGGUAAACGGCCGCACAUCAAAGACCAAACUGUAAUUAUAAAGAGCGUUUUGUCCAAUAAGACUGAAAAGAGAAGAGGAAAUUUCCUAUGUACUUUUAGUUUGGUACAACACCAUAGAUGGAGUAAUGAUUAACAAAACUUUCUUAACUUAAUCAUCUCCCCUGUCUUUGACAACGAAUGGUUGUGCUCAAAGUCCAUGUGCUAGCAACAUAUAUGGCUGCGAUUUUUCAGAAGAUAUAUGACUUUCGAGCAACAUACAAUUUUAUGUCGUAAUGCAGUUUCUGACAUGGUCACAUCCCACUUUGGUAUUAUAAGUGUGCAUAAGGUUUCGAUGUUGUGCAUAGAUUUUUUUUAUUAUAGUACUAUGUGAUUUAGAGUUUUCUCUUUCAACCACAAUAAGAAGGUACAAAUGAGGCAACUAAAUGGGUCAAAUGGGUGCGGUUCUGCACAAUAGAUAUCACCCUCUCUCUCUCUCUCUCUCUCUCUCUCUCUCUCUCUCUCUCUCCUUUUACCUUUUGUUUUUUGCUUUCAUAUGAUUUUUUGCCAAGUACUUAUCCUUGAGUUUAUUCAGUUCCGUUGAUUGAGAGAUGUCUCCUCGACCUUGGUGAUAUCAUUAUCUUCAAAUUGUUUAUCUCUACAUGUAGGUGUUGGAGCUCAUGCGGCAAUAUAUUAAGGAUGAAAUGAGGCCAUGCAGAGUCAUUUUUCUGACAUGUAUCAUUGUGGUUCUUGUUUUCUAUAUGUACCUGUGAAAGGUAUUUCCUUCUCUUGAUUGGUACAGUUAAGUGGUUUAUAUGAAAUAUAUAGCUGAAUGAUAUUUAGUCAGUGUCUUCUGUACAGAAACAUAGUAAACAACAUCAGGCACUGAAUCUUAUGUCCUCUGUUUUCUAGCAUGUCAGCUCUUUUAUUGGACCAAUUAGUGUGAACUUAACUAAGGGGAAAGUCGCAGAUCUGCAGGGACCAUUCGAGGGUGUUUGCCAUUUCUUUUAUACAUUUUCUCACUUAGUUCUUCAUUGCUCUCAUAGAACUUGAUUUAAAGUUUUUGGCUGAAGCCGGUUCCACAACUUGAUUCAAAGGCCGUAAAAGGUGUCAAAGGCUGCCCGCAUGAUGUUGAUUCUGGAAAUUGCUAAGCUCACAAAACAAUCCAUGGAGCCUCGGCAGGGAAAACAUACAGUACAUGCUACAUAUAAUUUCACCUUCUUGGGCAUAGGGAAACAAUGGAAGAGUAUACCAAGAAACCACUUCUCAAUUGAGAGAACAAUUAAAACAAUGAUGAAUCUAUACAUUUGAAAUUUCAUGGUACUGGAGGGCCCUGCCAUUCCUGCGCUUGAUUGUUCUUCUGCUUGUGUGGGCACUUUUGGCUGGAUCGCUAAAUUAUUACAAAAAGUUGCUUAACAUGGUGGCAUUCUUCCUUGGUAAUAUUGCGCCCGUAAAUCUGAUACCUACUAUUCAUACAUGAUCAUGUACAAACUAUUAUCUGUUUUUCUUAAGUGAUUGAUUGGUUGUGGAGAAUUAGAACUGUUAAAAGAGGAUGCCUGACUACAACUCAGUUAGAUGGGAGUCUCUGAAAUUGUUCAUUUUGAGUUAUAUGAUCUGCCCGCAAUUUAAACUCAGUGCCCCUAAUUGAGCAUGUACCAAGUUCUUUUGCUUUGGUCAAGACGAGUGACAAUGAUUCAGAUCUGGUCUAUGCAUUACUACAAGUUAAGAUGGCACGGCAACGUCUCCACUCUGAGUCUUGCCUGAUCGCAAUACUAUCUAUAAGAGCGCAUACAAUGUUGAUGUAUCAUAUCUUCAAGUGAUGUUGUAAUGGAGUUCUGUGUAUUCUACGACGGCUCAAUUUGUGCUAUGCCUAUAAUCAUUCAUUUUCAUUC